GACGGAGGGUGCAAGCGUUGUUCGGAUUGACUGGGCGUAAAGGGCGUGUAGGCGGUCGGCCAAGUCUGCUGUGAAAGCCCGAGGCUCAGCCUCGGAAGUGCGUCGGAAACUAGUCGGCUGGAGCGCGAUAGAGGAGGGUGGAAUUCCUGGUGUAGCGGUGAAAUGCGUAGAUAUCAGGAGGAACACCGGCGGCGAAGGCGGCCCUCUGGAUCGUUGCUGACGCUGAGACGCGAAAGCGUGGGGAGCAAACAGG
RNAcentral lists this ribosomal RNA (253 nucleotides) under uncultured bacterium. RNAcentral describes it as "partial 16S ribosomal RNA". It matches the Rfam family "Bacterial small subunit ribosomal RNA", at positions 524 to 776 of the family's 1533-position model. The record is from RNAcentral.